AGAAGUAAACUUAAGGGUCACUUUAUAUUCUGUUGUGACUCUUCUGUAUGCUGCAGG
RNAcentral lists this microRNA precursor (57 nucleotides) under Euprymna scolopes. Its description in RNAcentral is "Esc-Novel-67_pre stem-loop". Lineage: Eukaryota; Metazoa; Mollusca; Cephalopoda; Sepiida; Sepiolidae. The record is from RNAcentral.